CACUACGUUGAUAGGCUGGAUGUGGAAGCGCGGUAACGCGUGUAGCUGACCAGUACUAAUAGCUCAAUUGGCUUGAUUUAUG
Molecule: ribosomal RNA, 82 nt
Filed under: Gammaproteobacteria bacterium TMED34
Lineage: Bacteria; Pseudomonadati; Pseudomonadota; Gammaproteobacteria
Description: partial 23S ribosomal RNA
Rfam family: Bacterial large subunit ribosomal RNA
Source: RNAcentral